This 132-nucleotide ribosomal RNA is filed under the name Herbinix hemicellulosilytica. RNAcentral's name for it is "partial 23S ribosomal RNA". It matches the Rfam family "Bacterial large subunit ribosomal RNA", at positions 2795 to 2925 of the family's 2925-position model. Lineage: Bacteria; Bacillati; Bacillota; Clostridia; Lachnospirales; Lachnospiraceae. The record is from RNAcentral.
UCCCUCAAGAUAAGAUAUCCCAUAGCGUUAAGCUAGUAAGACCCCUUGAAGACUACGAGGUAGAUAGGACAGAGGUGUAAGUGUGGUAACGCACUAAGCUGACUGUUACUAAUAGGUCGAGGGCUUGACCUA